ACUGUGGGAGGAAUGUAAACAAAUCCAGUGCCCCCACAGCAGUUGAAGAGAAAGGAUUAAACACUGAUAAGCAGAGUGUUGUUACAGUCAAAAACAAAAGAAACUAGUUAAUAUAUUAAGUUAGUGCGGAUACAAAUUAUUUAUUUAAAUAUGAUUUUUGGGUUUCAGAUCAAUAUGGAAAAUUUAUUCAUGCUCAGUGAGAUUUGUUCAGUUAUAAAGGAGAAGCAAGGAACCUAUGAGUGCAGACAAUUCAGCACAAAUAAAGUCCUCUAAACAGGCACUUAUAUAUGUAUGUGGAUUUAUUGCCAAAAAACUAAGCACAAAAGUUUCCGACCUUGUCAGAGGCAGUGAGGAUAAAACAAACUAGGAUUGGAUAGACUUAAAAUCAAGAGAAUCCCUGGUUUAUCCAUCCAAAGAUCUUUUGGAUUAUAGAGGUCGAGAUCCAAUCGAAAAAAAACAAUUUUAGCUAUUGCUGCAAUAAGCAAUCGAUGGCCUCGGGAAGUUAUUAAACUUUUUGUAAAUGUUAAAUUUUUCAGUAGACUAUCGCCCCCUCCUCCUUCUAUUCAAUUCUCCUUGCGUCUAAUAAAGUUUAUCAGAAGAAUA
Molecule: long non-coding RNA, 603 nt
Organism: Eurytemora carolleeae
Lineage: Eukaryota; Metazoa; Arthropoda; Copepoda; Calanoida; Temoridae
Exons: 2
Source: RefSeq, a predicted model, not a curated record